Maylandia zebra (zebra mbuna) is the source of this 154-nucleotide non-coding RNA. Lineage: Eukaryota; Metazoa; Chordata; Actinopteri; Cichliformes; Cichlidae. The record is from RefSeq and is a predicted model, not a curated record.
ACCACAUUUCCUCUCCAAGAACCUGGUCAACCACAUCACAGGGAAUCAGAGUUUCAGCGCCACUGUAGAAGAUGUGCAAGAUGAGGAGAUCACAAAAGUUCUACAUCAGGUCCUGAAAGCUGAAUCAGAGGAGUCUUUGCAUAAUCUUAUUUUG